RNAcentral lists this ribosomal RNA (357 nucleotides) under Triticum aestivum (bread wheat). RNAcentral's name for it is "partial small subunit ribosomal RNA". The record is from RNAcentral. Lineage: Eukaryota; Viridiplantae; Streptophyta; Magnoliopsida; Poales; Poaceae.
AUGCAGGAGAAAGCCAUUUUGGAGACAAGGCCGGUGCUUCGCAAGGCCAUAGAAGAGGUGUACAAGUCGCUCUCCGACCGACGGAGCACGAUGGUUAUCGCCGACCUUGGCUCCUCAUCGGGCCCGAACACCCUACGCGUCGUCUCCGAGGUGAUCGGCGCGGUCCAGUUCAACACUCAGAAGUCGGAAGAAGAACGGCGCGCCGUGGAGGUGCAGUUCUUCCUGAAUGACCUGCCAGGGAACGAUUUCAACCUUGUCUUCCGGUCACUGGAGCAACUUGAGGAUCUCGGAGGCAAAGAGACGCAGCCCUACUAUGUGGCGGGCCUGCCGGGAUCCUACUGCAGUGUUAAGUGUUAG